RNAcentral lists this ribosomal RNA (2786 nucleotides) under Campylobacter jejuni. RNAcentral describes it as "partial 23S ribosomal RNA". It matches the Rfam family "Bacterial large subunit ribosomal RNA", at positions 296 to 2925 of the family's 2925-position model. The record is from RNAcentral. Lineage: Bacteria; Pseudomonadati; Campylobacterota; Epsilonproteobacteria; Campylobacterales; Campylobacteraceae.
AGGACUGCAAUGUGCAAGAGGUAAGUUUAGCAGAACAUUCUGGAAAGUAUAACCAUAGAGGGUGAUAGUCCCGUAUGCGAAAAACAAACCUUAGCUAGCAGUAUCCUGAGUAGGGCGGGACACGAGGAAUCCUGUCUGAAUCCGGGUCGACCACGAUCCAACCCUAAAUACUAAUACCAGAUCGAUAGUGCACAAGUACCGUGAGGGAAAGGUGAAAAGAACUGAGGUGAUCAGAGUGAAAUAGAACCUGAAACCAUUUGCUUACAAUCAUUCAGAGCCCUAUGUAGCAAUACAGGGUGAUGGACUGCCUUUUGCAUAAUGAGCCUGCGAGUUGUGGUGUCUGGCAAGGUUAAGCAAACGCGAAGCCGUAGCGAAAGCGAGUCUGAAUAGGGCGCUUAGUCAGAUGCUGCAGACCCGAAACGAAGUGAUCUAUCCAUGAGCAAGUUGAAGCUAGUGUAAGAACUAGUGGAGGACUGAACCCAUAGGCGUUGAAAAGCCCCGGGAUGACUUGUGGAUAGGGGUGAAAGGCCAAUCAAACUUCGUGAUAGCUGGUUCUCUCCGAAAUAUAUUUAGGUAUAGCGUUGUGUCGUAAUAUAAGGGGGUAGAGCACUGAAUGGGCUAGGGCAUACACCAAUGUACCAAACCCUAUCAAACUCCGAAUACCUUAUAUGUAAUCACAGCAGUCAGGCGGCGAGUGAUAAAAUCCGUCGUCAAGAGGGAAACAACCCAGACUACCAGCUAAGGUCCCUAAAUCUUACUUAAGUGGAAAACGAUGUGAAGUUACUUAAACAACCAGGAGGUUGGCUUAGAAGCAGCCAUCCUUUAAAGAAAGCGUAAUAGCUCACUGGUCUAGUGAUUUUGCGCGGAAAAUAUAACGGGGCUAAAGUAAGUACCGAAGCUGUAGACUUGCACACAACUUAGAUUAUUUAAGUUUAGAAUAUGAGAAACUAAGUUAUAUGUUUAGUUAUAUUUUUACUGAUUUUUAUAGAGUAAAGAUAGAAAUAAAACUUAGUAAAAUCAGUAAAAAUAUUCUUAGACUAAAGUUAAGUAGUUUAAGUUGUGUGCAAGUGGUAGGAGAGCGUUCUAUUUGCGUCGAAGGUAUACCGGUAAGGAGUGCUGGAGCGAAUAGAAGUGAGCAUGCAGGCAUGAGUAGCGAUAAUUAAUGUGAGAAUCAUUAACGCCGUAAACCCAAGGUUUCCUACGCGAUGCUCGUCAUCGUAGGGUUAGUCGGGUCCUAAGUCGAGUCCGAAAGGGGUAGACGAUGGCAAAUUGGUUAAUAUUCCAAUACCAACAUUAGUGUGCGAUGGAAGGACGCUUAGGGCUAAGGGGGCUAGCGGAUGGAAGUGCUAGUCUAAGGUCGUAGGAGGUUAUACAGGCAAAUCCGUAUAACAAUACUCCGAGAACUGAAAGGCUUUUUGAAGUCUUCGGAUGGAUAGAAGAACCCCUGAUGCCGUCGAGCCAAGAAAAGUUUCUAAGUUUAGCUAAUGUUGCCCGUACCGUAAACCGACACAGGUGGGUGGGAUGAGUAUUCUAAGGCGCGUGGAAGAACUCUCUUUAAGGAACUCUGCAAAAUAGCACCGUAUCUUCGGUAUAAGGUGUGGUUAGCUUUGUAUUAGGAUUUACUCCGAAAGCAAGGAAACUUACAACAAAGAGUCCCUCCCGACUGUUUACCAAAAACACAGCACUCUGCUAACUCGUAAGAGGAUGUAUAGGGUGUGACGCCUGCCCGGUGCUCGAAGGUUAAUUGAUGGGGUUAGCAUUAGCGAAGCUCUUGAUCGAAGCCCGAGUAAACGGCGGCCGUAACUAUAACGGUCCUAAGGUAGCGAAAUUCCUUGUCGGUUAAAUACCGACCUGCAUGAAUGGCGUAACGAGAUGGGAGCUGUCUCAAAGAGGGAUCCAGUGAAAUUGUAGUGGAGGUGAAAAUUCCUCCUACCCGCGGCAAGACGGAAAGACCCCGUGGACCUUUACUACAGCUUGACACUGCUACUUGGAUAAGAAUGUGCAGGAUAGGUGGGAGGCUUUGAGUAUAUGACGCCAGUUGUAUAUGAGCCAUUGUUGAGAUACCACUCUUUCUUAUUUGGGUAGCUAACCAGCUUGAGUUAUCCUCAAGUGGGACAAUGUCUGGUGGGUAGUUUGACUGGGGCGGUCGCCUCCCAAAUAAUAACGGAGGCUUACAAAGGUUGGCUCAGAACGGUUGGAAAUCGUUCGUAGAGUAUAAAGGUAUAAGCCAGCUUAACUGCAAGACAUACAAGUCAAGCAGAGACGAAAGUCGGUCUUAGUGAUCCGGUGGUUCUGUGUGGAAGGGCCAUCGCUCAAAGGAUAAAAGGUACCCCGGGGAUAACAGGCUGAUCUCCCCCAAGAGCUCACAUCGACGGGGAGGUUUGGCACCUCGAUGUCGGCUCAUCGCAUCCUGGGGCUGGAGCAGGUCCCAAGGGUAUGGCUGUUCGCCAUUUAAAGCGGUACGCGAGCUGGGUUCAGAACGUCGUGAGACAGUUCGGUCCCUAUCUGCCGUGGGCGUAAGAAGAUUGAAGAGAUUUGACCCUAGUACGAGAGGACCGGGUUGAACAAACCACUGGUGUAGCUGUUGUUCUGCCAAGAGCAUCGCAGCGUAGCUAAGUUUGGAAAGGAUAAACGCUGAAAGCAUCUAAGCGUGAAGCCAACUCUAAGAUGAAUCUUCUCUAAGCUCUCUAGAAGACUACUAGUUUGAUAGGCUGGGUGUGUAAUGGAUGAAAGUCCUUUAGCUGACCAGUACUAAUAGAGCGUUUGGCUUAUCUUUAAUAAAGCAU